Lactuca sativa (garden lettuce) is the source of this 340-nucleotide non-coding RNA. The record is from RefSeq and is a predicted model, not a curated record. Lineage: Eukaryota; Viridiplantae; Streptophyta; Magnoliopsida; Asterales; Asteraceae.
UUGAAGGAGUUGUUGUGCAAGGAAGAGAAGGGCUUGGCUAAAGGAACUGCAAGAGAGUCACGUUCUGAGAAUUGGGGACACAGAGAGUACAUCAUCCAGGGAGUUUGUAGCUCGGCGGAUCGAGCACGAGUGAUUUCAGGAUUUGCUAGCUUUCAGUAUUCACGAGGUACUAGCGAGGACCGUGGGAAGGCGCCGGCGUGAUGUGUACACACUGAUUGAUGUUUUGAGAUCUUGGGAAUUCUAUGAAUUGUAUUUUGACAUAACACUUGGAAUAAUUAUGCUUUGUUUGAAUGAAAAUACUUUAUUUUUGAAAUGAAAAAUUUGUUUGAAAAUUUGCGUU